This 22-nucleotide microRNA is filed under the name Limulus polyphemus (Atlantic horseshoe crab). RNAcentral's name for it is "Lpo-Mir-375-P9_3p (mature (guide))". Lineage: Eukaryota; Metazoa; Arthropoda; Merostomata; Xiphosura; Limulidae. The record is from RNAcentral.
UUUGUUCGCUCGGCUCGAGUUA